UACGUAGGGUGCGAGCGUUGUCCGGAUUUAUUGGGCGUAAAGGGCUCGUAGGCGGCCUGUCGCGUCGGGAGUGAAAGCCCACUGCUUAACGGUGGGUCUGCUUCCGGUACGGGCGGGCUGGAGUAUGGCAGGGGAGACUGGAAUUCCUGGUGUAGCGGUGAAAUGCGCAGAUAUCAGGAGGAACACCGGUGGCGAAGGCGGGUCUCUGGGCAGUAACUGACGCUGAGGAGCGAAAGCGUGGGGAGCGAACAGG
RNAcentral lists this ribosomal RNA (253 nucleotides) under uncultured bacterium. Its description in RNAcentral is "partial 16S ribosomal RNA". It matches the Rfam family "Bacterial small subunit ribosomal RNA", at positions 524 to 776 of the family's 1533-position model. The record is from RNAcentral.